UACGGGGGGGGCAAGCGUUGUUCGGAAUUACUGGGCGUAAAGGGCUUGUAGGUGGCCAACUAAGUCAGACGUGAAAUCCCUCGGCUUAACCGGGGAACUGCGUCUGAUACUGGAUGGCUGGAGUGUGGGAGAGGGAUGCGGAAUUCCAGGUGUAGCGGUGAAAUGCGUAGAUAUCAGGAGGAACACCGGUGGCGAAGGCGGGUCUCUGGGCCGAUACUGACGCUGAGGAGCGAAAGCGUGGGGAGCGAACAGG
RNAcentral lists this ribosomal RNA (253 nucleotides) under uncultured bacterium. RNAcentral's name for it is "partial 16S ribosomal RNA". It matches the Rfam family "Bacterial small subunit ribosomal RNA", at positions 524 to 776 of the family's 1533-position model. The record is from RNAcentral.